AAGGGUGGAGCUCAGUGGUGGAGCCCGUGCCUCCCAUGCAUGGGGUCCUGGGCUCAAUCCCCAGUACCUCCG
This 72-nucleotide transfer RNA is filed under the name Camelus bactrianus (Bactrian camel). It matches the Rfam family "tRNA". From Rfam's summary of the family: Transfer RNA (tRNA) molecules are approximately 80 nucleotides in length. Their secondary structure includes four short double-helical elements and three loops (D, anti-codon, and T loops). Lineage: Eukaryota; Metazoa; Chordata; Mammalia; Artiodactyla; Camelidae. RNAcentral also lists the same sequence under 1 other name. The record is from Rfam by way of RNAcentral.